UAACUGUCCAGAUAUGAAUCAUCCUGUUUAGAAGAGAAACAAUUAGCAAAUUUGCAUAAAUAAGGGUAAAAUUCAGCCCAGGAAAAAUAAAAUAAAAUAACCCAUAUCACAAUAAGAUUCAGUGUGCUCAGAAACCAGAAUGAUUAUCUUAGUAAUAUGUAAAUAGAUACCAAGUAACGUUUAGGUCAAUGCAAUAUUUCUCCAAGACUCAAAAAUUUUAUAAAUUUCUCGUGGAAUCUAUAACGCACCUAGCACAACAACUUCUAGCAAAUUUUCAACAGCCCAAAUUUCAUUUUCCUACAGUUUAAGAAUACCAAUAAUCUAUUAGAGCAGUAAUCAGCUAAUUUUUACCUAUUUCAUUUUCUCAAAGGUUUUUGUAUAUUGGACAGAGCAUUUACACUGCUAGCAUAAUACAAAAACUAGGAUCUCAAUUACAAAAACAACUAGAAAAUAUGCAUUUAUCUAGAUGGUAAUUAAAAAAAAUAAAAAAAAAAAUUCAAUCAGAAUGUAUCUAGUAAUGAGAGUUGCAUAAUGAUAUCAAUGGGCCUCACAGUUAACAGACUGAUUGAUGAGCCUCAAUCUCCUCCUGGAACAAAAUAAGUAGACUGAUACCAAGUGAAAUAAGUAAAUAGGAAGCCCUUUCACUUCAAAUUGUAAACCACAUUAAGAAAAAAAAAAAUUACGCUUUAUGCAACUACUAAACCGAAGAGGAUACAA
RNAcentral lists this unclassified non-coding RNA (717 nucleotides) under Hevea brasiliensis (rubber tree). The record is from RNAcentral. Lineage: Eukaryota; Viridiplantae; Streptophyta; Magnoliopsida; Malpighiales; Euphorbiaceae.